GAGAUGACCCAAGGAGGACCAGCCGGUACCUGCUAGGCCCUUCUGCUGGGGCACGGGGUCAGGGGGCAGCACAUGGGCAUGUGGCCCCACUCCUGUCUGCUCCCCAGGACAACUCUAUUUUCCAGCAUGGAGUGCCCCUGGAGAUGGCGACAGCUCCUCUAAUAAGAGAGUUACUCAUGGCUUCACUGGAGAGAAGAGAGCAGCUUUCAACCCCCCUCUCCUAAACGCAACGAUAUUUGGUAACACUCGGCAUCUUGGGGAGAGCAUUCAUGUCUGUAAUUAGUUACUGUAUAUCACGGUGCCAGGACUACAGACAGGGCAAGGGAGAGCAGGGGCUUGCUGGAGAAAUCCAUCCUUCCCUGGGAUCUCUUGGAGGGCUCUCCAUCUCUCUUAGAGCAGUUUCUUUCUUAGACAGUUGAAGCUGCCUCAGUGGUCUCCCCAGAUCAUGCAGGUCGGGGCAGAAGCUUCUCACUCAGAGAACUGAGAAUAUCAUUUUUCACAGAAGUCUAAGGUGGAACUUAGACCAAGAUAUUCUUGGCCUUAGCAGUUUGACUUGGGCGGGGGUUUGGAAGCUGGAACUUUUCAAC
This 587-nucleotide non-coding RNA is filed under the name Pan troglodytes (chimpanzee). Lineage: Eukaryota; Metazoa; Chordata; Mammalia; Primates; Hominidae. The record is from RNAcentral.